AUCUAAUGCAGGUAGUUAUUACGCUGUCUACCCGUGUAAUCGAACCUAAAGUUUAAGCGACAUGUAAUGUCGUCGACCACGGGGGCCUCGCUAUGUUUAGCGGGGCUUUUAUUUUGC
This 117-nucleotide non-coding RNA is filed under the name Lactobacillus equicursoris DSM 19284 = JCM 14600 = CIP 110162. Its description in RNAcentral is "DUF3800-I RNA". It matches the Rfam family "DUF3800-I RNA". Rfam says of the family: Actinobacteria, Firmicutes, Fusobacteria, Proteobacteria (1 example), Tenericutes (2 examples). Terminator (Clostridia) Lineage: Bacteria; Bacillati; Bacillota; Bacilli; Lactobacillales; Lactobacillaceae. The record is from Rfam by way of RNAcentral.